RNAcentral lists this ribosomal RNA (209 nucleotides) under uncultured bacterium. RNAcentral describes it as "partial 16S ribosomal RNA". It matches the Rfam family "Bacterial small subunit ribosomal RNA", at positions 1292 to 1500 of the family's 1533-position model. The record is from RNAcentral.
UUCGGAUUGCAGGCUGCAACCCGCCUGCAUGAAGUUGGAAUCGCUAGUAAUCGCGGAUCAGCAUGCCGCGGUGAAUACGUUCCCGGGCCUUGUACACACCGCCCGUCACACCAUGAGAGUCGGGAACACCCGAAGUCCGUAGCCUAACCGCAAGGGGGGCGCGGCCGAAGGUGGGUUCGAUAAUUGGGGUGAAGUCGUAACAAGGUACC